This 501-nucleotide ribosomal RNA is filed under the name uncultured bacterium. RNAcentral describes it as "partial 16S ribosomal RNA". It matches the Rfam family "Bacterial small subunit ribosomal RNA", at positions 30 to 523 of the family's 1533-position model. The record is from RNAcentral.
AUUGAACGCUGGCGGCAGGCUUAACACAUGCAAGUCGAGCGGAGCGAGGGUGCUUGCACCUUAGCUUAGCGGCGGACGGGUGAGUAAUGCUUAGGAAUCUGCCUAUUAGUGGGGGACAACAUUCCGAAAGGGAUGCUAAUACCGCAUACGCCCUACGGGGGAAAGCAGGGGAUCUUCGGACCUUGCGCUAAUAGAUGAGCCUAAGUCGGAUUAGCUAGUUGGUGGGGUAAAGGCCUACCAAGGCGACGAUCUGUAGCGGGUCUGAGAGGAUGCUCCGCCACACGGGGACUGAGACACGGCCCAGACUCCUACGGGAGGCAGCAGUGGGGAAUAUUGGACAAUGGGCGGAAGCCUGAUCCAGCCAUGCCGCGUGUGUGAAGAAGGCCUUUUGGUUGUAAAGCACUUUAAGCGAGGAGGAGGCUACUAGUAUUAAUACUACUGGAUAGUGGACGUUACUCGCAGAAUAAGCACCGGCUAACUCUGUGCCAGCCGCCGCCGUAA